RNAcentral lists this long non-coding RNA (272 nucleotides) under Pelobates cultripes (western spadefoot toad). The record is from RNAcentral. Lineage: Eukaryota; Metazoa; Chordata; Amphibia; Anura; Pelobatidae.
UAGCAUCCUCUGGGUCUACUGCACCCAUUCAGGUUGUUUUUGAUACAUUCCCAGGCAGGGCCGCCAUCAGGGCAUGACAACCGUAACGGUUGUCAUGGGCCCGGCGGUCCUGGGGGGCCCGGACUGCUCAGGUCGUCCGGGCCCCACAUUCAGUGGGUACAUACCGGGUCGCAGGGGGCCCUGCGACCCCGGUAUGUACCCACAGGGCCAGCCUCUUCACCUGGGGGGCCCAGCAGCCGGUCACCCCAGGGCCCCCCAGAGGCUGGCCCUGC